CCACUUCGGGAAGCGGAAUCGAGGGAGCGCGGCGGACGGCACACCCACGGCUUGUCUGCGUGAGUGGCUGCGUGGUGUUGCUCUGUGCCUUGCACACCGCUGUUCUCUUUCUUAGCUCGCUUUUCUUGGAAUCGGCGAAGUCUAGGCUGGCCAAUGGCUGGGUAGCCGGAAAGUUCGACGCGCCGCCGUGCCGCGCCUCUUCUCCAGCGAGGAACAUGGGUGCUGAAGCGGGAUGUGCACCUGCGGCCAGGAUGGACUCCGCAGUGUCAUCGCGGCGAGAGCGGGGCCGGCAGAUGAUGUGCGGGAGCAGCGGUGCUGCUCGGCCCGCGAGCAGUGCACUUGGAGCGGCUUCGCGUCUGACAGUGGCCAGCAGUGCCGAUGAGGGCGCUGCUGCCGCACCUGCACUGGCGCUUCAUGUCCACGAUUCCACUCGCGCGAGUUCGAGGCGCUGUAUUCGUAACGACGUCAGUUGAGUUGCCCAACCCCAAGCUCGCUUCUACCUACAGGAUCGAUGGCGUCGCUUCGCGCCCUUCUGCAGAGGGACGCAGCACACACAUCUCGCAGAACUCGGGUGGUACGGUGCCCGCGCGUGCGACGGCACACGGGGCUUUUCCUGCUCCUACACCGGCGCGCGCUGUGAGUGCGUGGGGCUGCUGCGUGAUGGCCGUUGGCGCGGGGUGGCGCCCCCCUGAUGUCUCCCCUCGUCCGCUGCUUCCCGUGGUGCGGCGGUGCCAAUAACGUUUCUUCACAUCCGCCUCCUUCAGCGAGUCCUCGACAACGGAGAGGACGACGACACACGAUUGCGCGUGCUUGGAGGUUGCAAUGCUGGAUGGCGCGACGACAGCGGCGGAGUCGCAGCCCAUACGGAGGGCGAGGCUGCGCCGUCGGAGGUGCCGCCUCCGCGGUCCUGAAGCGGCGGCCCGCAAACAAGAUGUUUCUUUUGAUGCGUGGGCUGAUAAUGCGUGUUGGCGCGUGCGUAUACCGAUGCACGGCCUAUUUGUAUGAGUGCAUUUAUGUGUCGGUGAUCCUUUACACGUGAGGCUACUUCUAUUUCUGUGUGUUUUGUUACGACCCCGUAUGUGUGUGUGCUUGUUCAUGGUGGACGGGGCCGUCCGCAGGUACAGAGACCACCUUAUCGUGGUGCUGCGGUCAAGCAAACCCUUUGGGGGAAGCUAAGAGUCUGUGCCGCUAGUGCUCGGGGGUCGUUUGCGGUACCUGGUAUGAGUGUCGACACUUCGCAGAAUUGGGUUGUUUCUCCUUACUGAGC
RNAcentral lists this unclassified non-coding RNA (1267 nucleotides) under Leishmania donovani. Its description in RNAcentral is "gene:unknown". Lineage: Eukaryota; Euglenozoa; Kinetoplastea; Trypanosomatida; Trypanosomatidae. The record is from RNAcentral.